GGGGGAAGAAAGAGAGGAGGAAGCAGGGAAAGCAGAAAAAGGGGAAAGAAAAGGA
RNAcentral lists this non-coding RNA (55 nucleotides) under Palpitomonas bilix. The record is from RNAcentral.